UACGGGGGGGGCAAGCGUUGUUCGGAAUUACUGGGCGUAAAGGGCUCGUAGGCGGCCAACUAAGUCGGACGUGAAAUCCCUCGGCUUAACCGGGGAACUGCGUCCGAUACUGGAUGGCUUGAGUAUGGGAGAGGGAUGCGGAAUUCCAGGUGUAGCGGUGAAAUGCGUAGAGAUCCGGAAGAACACCGACGGCGAAGGCAGCGUCCUGGCCGAGCACUGACGCUCAGGCACGAAAGCGCGGGGAGCGAACAGG
Molecule: ribosomal RNA, 253 nt
Filed under: uncultured bacterium
Lineage: Bacteria
Description: partial 16S ribosomal RNA
Rfam family: Bacterial small subunit ribosomal RNA
Source: RNAcentral